ACAUUUUGAUGAUACAGUGCUACAUAGCCUAAGUCUUAGCACACAGUUCAGAAAAGUGGUAACACAAAAGUACACUCUGUCUAUAGUGCAAGGAGAUAAUUGUGUGCAAAUAGUUGGCCACAUUGCUAUUUUAAGAAAUAUCAUUAAGGUAGAUGAGGUAGGGAUUUUUGUCCUAUUUCAAAAGUUUAAUCAAGAAUCAUUCUUCUCCGACCCGUUUGAGUCAACCAGCAUAGGUUGUUAUAAAGAGUUGCAUGACAAUCUUGAUGUGGCCAGACUCCAAGAUAUUAAGCUGAAAUAUUUCCUCUGUCCUGACAAAAAUGUCUUCAUUGCCAUGCCACUCAUUCAUAUGACAUAAUGAAUUGUUUGUAGAUUACAACAUGCUUUAUCUCUUGUAAGAGAAGCUUGUACUUAACAUAAUGAGUUCCUGCUUGUUCUUUUUUUUUUCUCUCUAUAUCUCCAAGGGAAAGUUUACAUUUGCGUUCUUGUAUUGUAGGGGAGUUAUUUUGUUAAAAAAAUGAAGCAGUGGUGCAUCGUUCAAUUGCAAAAUGGUGGCACAGAAAUUGUGCCACACAGCUGGCUGAUUGGAAAGAAGCUUCUAUGGCCACCAUAUCCACCCAAAGACACAGCCAAGGUACGGGCUGCAGUUAAAAAAAUAUGAACUGCCUUCUGAGGAAUGGUUGUCCUAUGAACUUGUUAGACACCUUGUAAGUCAAGCCACAGAUGAAGAAGCUGAGAAGAGUUUGAAAAGAUACCUACAGGAGAACUGCAACACAACUGACAUUCAGUCUGAUGAAGAAACUGAAAAGUUUGAAAAAAGAAUAUCCAGAUCCAAUCCCGUUUACAACUGAUACAGAAGACGAAGUUAAAAAAAAGAAAGCUCUGCCCAGCUCCUAGACUUCUAUUUUUAGUCUCCAACAAAAUGCAGGCUCCUGUUCAAUCAGCUUUCAGAGUCAAGACCUCUGUCCAGUCUUCUAUCAAAAUUCUGCCUAACUAUCCUUUGGAGUCCUCUGACCAGAUGUGCAGCAGUUCUCCAUACUUGACUGAGUCAGGCGACUCAUCAGCCCUGCCCGCCAUGUACCCCAGCCAGGAACCAUCUUACAAGGAU
This is a long non-coding RNA of Cyprinus carpio (common carp), 1105 nucleotides long. RefSeq lists it as uncharacterized. The transcript has 4 exons. The record is from RefSeq and is a predicted model, not a curated record. NCBI's taxonomy places the organism in Eukaryota, Metazoa, Chordata, Actinopteri, Cypriniformes, Cyprinidae.